UUGAUAACUGGAAAGUUGUAGCUGGCCUCUCGGGGCAUGUGCACGCUGACCACUAAUCUCCAAUACACCUGUGAACUUACCGUAGGCCUUUUGGCUUAUGUCUUUCAUAAACCCCAUGCAUGUAUCAGAAUGUAAUAUAUUUGUUUGCCCUAAAAAGCAACUAAAAAAACAAUA
This 174-nucleotide unclassified non-coding RNA is filed under the name uncultured Agaricomycetes. Its description in RNAcentral is "sequence contains ITS1". The record is from RNAcentral. Lineage: Eukaryota; Fungi; Basidiomycota; Agaricomycetes.